This 3638-nucleotide unclassified non-coding RNA is filed under the name Amphibalanus amphitrite. Its description in RNAcentral is "thyrotroph embryonic factor-like, transcript variant X4". Lineage: Eukaryota; Metazoa; Arthropoda; Thecostraca; Balanomorpha; Balanidae. The record is from RNAcentral.
UCGAGUUGGUCGCAGUGGGUGGUGCGUGACAGUGCGUGAUAAUUGCGUCGCUCUGUGUUGGUACCCUACACAUUCGAUUUUGGGACAAAGAUGAGUAAUGAACCAGGUAACAUGAAGACAAACUACGGAAUGGGCUUCACCAUCCAGUCCAUAAUUGACGAAAAUGCUGACCUGCUAAAAAUAAAUCCAACAAACACAGAUGAGAAGAAGGAUGACGUCGGCUUCUGGUCGGGCGUGGACGCCCAGGCGGCGUUCCUCGGACCCAACAUCUGGGGAUCGCCCAACAACUCGGACUUCAAGCUGGAGCAGCUCGACCUGUCGGACUUUCUGGGCGAGAACGACCUGCUGCCGUCGGCGCUGUCGACGCCGGCGGUGAGCCCGGCGCCGCCGCUGACGCCGCCGCUGGCCGACGGUCUGCUCUCGCCUGCCCACUCGCCGUGCAGCGGCGGCGGCUCGGCACCGUCCCCGGACCCCACUCAGCAGCAGCAGCUGCACCAGCUGCAGCACGCCCAGCUGCAGCAGCAGGAGCAGCAGCAGCAGCAGCAGCAGCAGCAGCAGCAACAGCAACAACAACAGCAGCAGCAGCAGCAGCAGCAGCAGCAGCAGCCGCAGCAGCAACAGGAGCAGCCACAGCAGCAGCAGACCAGCCGUGGUGGCGAACAGAAGCCCCGCCGUGAGCGCUCCGCCCGGACGCCGCGCGUGCCCGUCAAGUUCCGCGUGUCGCCGGCCGACCUGGCACUGGCCUCGGCGCCCGGCGUCCAGUUCGACCCGCAGACCAGACAGUUCUCCGAUGACGAGCUCAAGCCGCAGCCCAUGUGCAAGAAGUCCAAGAAACAGGUGGUUCCGGACGAGGCCAAAGACCAGAAGUACUGGACGCGCCGCGAGAGGAACAACUACGCGGCCAAGCGGUCGCGCGAGGCACGCCGCCUCAAGGAGAAUCAGAUCGUGCUGCGCGCCAACUUCCUGGAGAAGGAGGUGAGAGCGGGCGGCUCAGGGACUGGCCGCAACCGGCUCGGCACUGACCGGGGCCGGCUCGGCACUGGCCGGGAGGUGAUGAGGACAGAUAGAUGGGACUUGCAUAGUCCGCGAUCCUGGAGUCGCGGACAUGUCGUGAAUAAAAUGUCGGAUGCUGGUUUACUACCAUUAAAUGCAAGGUCAACACGUUCAUCUAUUUUUUAUUGUUUUCUGGAAUGACGACUGUUAAUGGCCACGAGGACCCUUAGCCAUAAACAUCCACAAAAAACGUUUGGCAAAUUGUCUCGGGUCGUCAACAAAAUGACCGUAUCAUAGUCAUUCUUGUUUUAUUAGUUGAGUCCAUGCUUACUUGGCGUAUUAUUGAGAUUCCGCUGCAGCAUUGUAUCAUCCAGUUAACGACGGUCGUUCUCAUGCAUCCGUGCCAUCGAUUCGCCUGGUAUAAUGGCUACAUUAUUCAUACAUUCCAAGCACCAUUCUUGGAAAAAAAUAGUGUUCUGAAAAUUGUUGAAAUUUGCAACAUUUUCUUAAACCUAAAAGCUGACAAGCUACGUUAUCGUUGAUGAAUCCCAGUUCAUUUAGUAGUGUUCUUGCAGCCUGUCGCAUUUAUGUCAGAUGUAAUACAUCUCGUUAGCGAGUCGUCCCUGCGCCGGCUCGGUGACUCUGACUCAGCGUAGGAUCGGGUCGGGCGGCUGCCGUGAGUCCAAGACACGCUGUUUGUUUGUCUUGCAUAGUCUCCUAACGAACCGGCAAAGACACGCUGUUUUUUUUUGUCUUGCAUAGUCUCCUAACGAACCAGCGUUUCUAAACAAAUCAACAACUACAUAUAUUUUAAGUACAAAUUGUUAGUGGUCUGACGAGACUAGCGGUGCUGCCUUUUUGUGUCUGUGGAAAUUCACAAUGUGUGGUUAGGGAGCGCGAGGCGCGGGCGGCCGUUCUUGCGGUCUGGUCAACACAUGCUCAGUAAAUGGCACACCGCCGGACACCGCUGCCGCAGAGCUAACGACGUCGGUCACGCCAGCCGCGCAGGCGGCGCGGAUCGUUUUGCGUGCUGUGUGAUGGCUAUUGACAGGCGGAACUGUCGUUUGCGUGCGCGCGGGCAUCUCUUGAAUGUCGCGCGUUGACAAAUGAUGUCUUCAGUGACUGUGCUAUCCAUUACACAGGACAGUGAAUAAUGCCAAUUAAGAUACCGUUUUUGGGAAAAUGAAAUUCUGGUAUCAAGCGGUUUGUUGUUCAUAUCACUUUACAGUAUUAUGUACACUGCCUAAAUUUUCCUUUUCCAUUUGUCGAGGAGCCAGUUUUACCAUUUUCAUGCCUUUUAGGCCCUGUAACUGUUGAGUUGUGUUUGGCUGCGCGAUAAUAAUUCUUUCAAGAUCUUGUUUUUCAAUUAAUUUUGAUGGUGGGAGGCACGCAAUGCUCGCUCCCACGACCGUCGAAUCUGAUGUAAAUCAUGCGGACAUCAAAAUGCAUAAAAAGUGCGAAUGAUUCAUUUGGCCUUUGGCCAAAUGCUUCGAGAAAGCAUCCAUCGUUGCUUAGAACUGAAAUUAAGGCACACUUAUGUUAUCAUACUUCGUUAAAAGCGCUGUUCAUUUCAUUUGGUCGAGGCUCUAAUUUUCACCUUGGCGUGAUAGCGGUGAGUUCUGGCUUAACUCUUUGUUUUGCUUCAUUGCUUUUGUAAUGCUACCAAAGGUGCUCUAUAAAAUAGAAAAUCAGGACCGAUAGAGCGCACAGAGGCGCACAUUGUGACGGUUAUUUCAGUCUCGGGCGAUUGUGACGCAGCAUUUUACUGUUUACAGAACGUGGCCCUGCGCGAGUCCAUCGAGGAGAUAACGCGUGAGAACGAGCGUCUGAAGGAGCGGCUCAGCUCCUGUACCUGUCGCUAGAGGGCAGCUCCGGGCGGCGCCCGGGCAGGCGUGGCACACCCGGUGUACCCGCCCGGCCGCGGCAGGGCACGGCGCGCCCGCUGUACGCGCCGCCUGUUUUGUCACAGCGCUGGCGCGGCGCUGUGCUGUGUUUUGUCGGCUAUGGUACAAAAAGCGAGUACGGGCGCUCGGUGGCGAGCCGGAGAGGGCGAGCGAGCGAGCGCGGCCGGUCUGAGAGUGCGGAUGUGAUGCGGGGCGGCGCGGCCGGUCGGCCCGCCGCCGUGAUAGCGGGUACGCUGAGCUGCUGAUGUGAUGAGAGAGACGCCGGCCGGUGUGACUGGGUGCUAGUUGUCCGUGUAGACGUUAGGUUAGGGCGCCAGCCGCGGGCAGCCGCUGGUCUGCAGGACGAGAAGCUAUCUCUAUCCACUUUCCCCCUUUUAUGACGUUUAGCCGGUAGUGUGUACCCUCCCCUGCUUAGGUGUUAAGUUUAGUGUUAAGUGCUGGUUGUUGUGGCUUCUGUGGGCCUGCGUAAUCUCCGCGGCUGGCUUUGCAGCGUCACCGGCUCCGCCGAACGGCUGCUCUACAUGUCAUAACGUCGGUGUCUGGUGUCCGCGUUUAUCCGAAAUAAGGAGAGAGAAACUAUCGCCGAACCUGGUCAACGGACGCGGCGACUCCACAUGGUGCUCGGGUGUGAUACAUAAUGGUUUGUAACCCGAUAACAUAUAUAUAUUUGGCGCUCAACAGUAGACAGGUAAUCGAUAUUGACACUAUAUAUGUCAAAUAUAUUUUCGGCACUGAACCACA